This is a non-coding RNA of Danio rerio (zebrafish), 752 nucleotides long. Lineage: Eukaryota; Metazoa; Chordata; Actinopteri; Cypriniformes; Danionidae. The record is from RefSeq and is a predicted model, not a curated record.
GUAAAAAAAAUCUGUAAAAUAACAGUUAAAUGACUGUAUAUUUUAACAGAUUUUUUCCGUAUACACGUAUUACGGGUGUUUUUCCGUUUAUAUACAUUUUCGAAUUGCAUUGUGGGAAGGGGAUCGCAGCUCAGACAGCGUUUGAUGGACACCGGGACAUAUUUCUUCCUCUGUUUUUUCCCUGGUAAGUACGAUUAAUAAAACAUAUAACAAUAUUUUAGUUAAAAGACUGCUUUAUUACCUUUUUAUCGUUAUUUAAAAUGAUUUUUGUCUUUUAUGAAGCGCCCAUGGAAAGUACAGCAUUGUUUGUCCGUAUUUUUCUAAACUGCCGUGCGCGGGAAGUGGCGUGACGUCCCAAUCACCCACUCACUCCCUCUGCACCUGACUGGAUUAACGGUAAACGUCAGUUUGUCUGUAAGAGUGUAAAAGGUAUGUUAAUUAUUUUAUAGAAAUAUAAAUGUUUUCUUUGUACAGUGCAUUGAACAAGGGAUAGCAUUCAAAGUUUGUGUCACUGUGUAGUUUGGUUGAUAUACACUGCGGUCAAGCCAGCCGCGGUUCGGAAAAACACAGUCAAGCCAGCCGCGCUUUAUAUUUCGGUGCGCGCGUAUUAUUGUCAUUACGGUAAUGUCAGCAGCCACACAGAGAGCGCUCCACAGAGCACCCAUUUCGCCCAGAACAGAGAGAUGACAACGAAAUAUAAGUUUAUCCCCCUUUCCUCCCACGUAUGCUUUAUUAAACAAUUUAUUAGCUUU